CAUUUGAAAAGGCUCAAGGAUAUAGAAGAACCUUGGCUACAAAUUCAGGGAAGAUUUCACUUAUAAUGAGAAAUAAUCACCAUUAUUAUAUACAAUGAGAAAACAGUUAUGGAAGAAAUAGAAAGAAUUACCCGAAACGGAGGAUUUGGAAGACAAUGAGACAAAAGUAUAAAGAAGAAGAAAUUGGAGAUAUAAUGACUGCCUAUUUCUUUGAUGAACCCAUCAAAAACGGCUUGAAAAUUAAAGAAAUUGUAAAAUGCUGUAACGGAGGAAUUGAAACUGUAAAAGAUGCAAG
Molecule: long non-coding RNA, 295 nt
Filed under: Citrus maxima (pomelo)
Lineage: Eukaryota; Viridiplantae; Streptophyta; Magnoliopsida; Sapindales; Rutaceae
Description: long non-coding RNA (CMAX_LNC000213)
Source: RNAcentral